Molecule: ribosomal RNA, 253 nt
Filed under: uncultured bacterium
Lineage: Bacteria
Description: partial 16S ribosomal RNA
Rfam family: Bacterial small subunit ribosomal RNA
Source: RNAcentral
UACGGAGGGUGCAAGCGUUAUCCGGAUUCACUGGGUUUAAAGGGUGCGUAGGUGGGCAAGUAAGUCAGUGGUGAAAUCUCCGGGCUUAACCCGGAAACUGCCAUUGAUACUAUUUGUCUUGAAUACUGUGGAGGUCAGCGGAAUAUGUCAUGUAGCGGUGAAAUGCUUAGAUAUGACAUAGAACACCAAUUGCGAAGGCAGCUGGCUACACAAAUAUUGACACUGUGGCACGAAAGCGUGGGGAUCAAACAGG